CAUUGUAAAAUAAUAAUAAAAAUCAAUUAAACUCUCCACAUCAUUAUUUUUUCAUGUUAGAUUCCCAUGUCAGGUGCCAUGUCAUCAUUUUGGCCACAUCACCUGCCAAUACCAUGUCUCCAUCGACAAUUAAUGGCUGUUAGGGGCUUCAAUGGAAAAAUGAAUUUGAGGGCUUAAUUGGGUACCAAACAUGAUUCAGAGGGCUCGAUUGGAUGCACUUUUUGUCGAGAGGCUUAACUGAUCUUUUAAUUAUUUUCGAAGGGAUUGAGUAACCAUUUGUUCUAGA
RNAcentral lists this long non-coding RNA (286 nucleotides) under Gossypium barbadense (sea-island cotton). RNAcentral's name for it is "long non-coding RNA (GBAR_LNC017581)". The record is from RNAcentral. Lineage: Eukaryota; Viridiplantae; Streptophyta; Magnoliopsida; Malvales; Malvaceae.